GAGUUGUAAGGNGACGGAUUGAAUGGGUUCUAAAAGCCUUCAGUAAGNUUAGAUGAGGUGUGUUCGUUCNGUUAAUUCCACNCGAUUUAAAUCGUUGGGUGNGGGGGGAAANUGCUUAGAUAGGAGGCGGGAGAUGGCCGACGGUAUUUCCCGGGGUAGGGAGUGAAAUCCCUAUAAUCCCCGGGACGNACCACCAGUGGCGAAGGUUGUCGGCUAGAACGCGCUCUGAACGGUGAGGGAUGAAAAGCUGGGGGAGCAAACCGGAUUAGAUACCCGGGUAGUCCCAGCUGUAAACGANGCAGGCUAGGUGUUGGUGUGGCUACGAGCCGCUCCAGUGCCGCAGGGAAGCCGUUAAGCCUGCCACCCGGGAAGUACGGCCGCAAGGCUGAAACUUAAAGGAAUUGGCGGGGGAGCACCACAAGGGGUGAAGCUUGCGGUUUAAUUGGAGUCAACGCCGGAAAUCUCACCGGGGGCGACAGCAGGUUGAAGGCCAGAUUAAAGGUCUUGCUAGACAAGCUGAGAGGAGGUGCAUGGCCGUCGCCAGUUCGUGCCGUGAGGUGUCCUGUUAAGUCAGGCAACGAUCGAGACUCGCAUUCCCUGUUGCUAUCGGCCUGUGAGUCGAGCACACUGGGAAAACUGCCGCCGCUAAGGCGGAGGAAGGAGCGGGCCACGGCAGGUCAGUAUGCCCCGAAUCCCCCGGGCUACACGCGAGCUGCAAUGGCAGGUACAAAGGGUUCCGACUCCGAAAGGAGAAGGUAAUCUCAAAACCCUGCCGUAGUUGGAAUCGAGGGUUGUAACUCACCCUCGUGAAGCAUGGAAUCCCUAGUAAUCGCGCGUCACUAUCGCGCGGAGAAUACGUCCCUGCCCCUUGCACAC
Molecule: ribosomal RNA, 876 nt
Filed under: uncultured archaeon
Lineage: Archaea
Description: bacterial SSU rRNA
Rfam family: Archaeal small subunit ribosomal RNA
Source: RNAcentral